Long non-coding RNA from Cynara cardunculus var. scolymus (artichoke), 195 nucleotides. RefSeq lists it as uncharacterized. The transcript is spliced from 3 exons. Lineage: Eukaryota; Viridiplantae; Streptophyta; Magnoliopsida; Asterales; Asteraceae. The record is from RefSeq and is a predicted model, not a curated record.
AAAUCUUUUUUGUUCUUAUAUUGAUCAAUGGAUAAUGAUGAAUAGGGUGCAGUGGAUUUUUCCUACCAGGUGAGCUUCAUUCUUACCAUCUUCAGGAUAAUAGGAGGACUUGGACGAUAAUAAGGGAUGCAAAAAUUAUUUCGUGGUUAAAGAACGGAUGCAAAAAUUAUGGACUUAGGGUCGUAUACCAAACGC